Molecule: ribosomal RNA, 1533 nt
Filed under: Bacillus vallismortis
Lineage: Bacteria; Bacillati; Bacillota; Bacilli; Caryophanales; Bacillaceae
Description: bacterial SSU rRNA
Rfam family: Bacterial small subunit ribosomal RNA
Source: RNAcentral
AGGACGAACGCUGGCGGCGUGCCUAAUACAUGCAAGUCGAGCGGACAGAUGGGAGCUUGCUCCCUGAUGUUAGCGGCGGACGGGUGAGUAACACGUGGGUAACCUGCCUGUAAGACUGGGAUAACUCCGGGAAACCGGGGCUAAUACCGGAUGCUUGUUUGAACCGCAUGGUUCAAACAUAAAAAGGUGGCUUCGGCUACCACUUACAGAUGGACCCGCGGCGGCAUUAGCUAGUUGGUGAGGUAAUGGCUCACCAAGGGCAACGAUGCGUAGCCGACCUGAGAGGGUGAUCGGCCACACUGGGACUGAGACACCGGCCCAGACUCCCUACGGGAGGCAGCAGUAGGGAAUCUUCCGCAAUGGACGAAAGUCUGACGGAGCAACGCCGCGUGAGUGAUGAAGGUUUUCGGAUCGUAAAGCUCUGUUGUUAGGGAAGAACAAGUGCCGUUCGAAUAGGGCGGCACCUUGACGGUACCUAACCAGAAAGCCACGGCUAACUACGUGCCAGCAGCCGCGGUAAUACGUAGGUGGCAAGCGUUGUCCGGAAUUAUUGGGCGUAAAGGGCUCGCAGGCGGUUUCUUAAGUCUGAUGUGAAAGCCCCCGGCUCAACCGGGGAGGGUCAUUGGAAACUGGGGAACUUGAGUGCAGAAGAGGAGAGUGGAAUUCCACGUGUAGCGGUGAAAUGCGUAGAGAUGUGGAGGAACACCAGUGGCGAAGGCGACUCUCUGGUCUGUAACUGACGCUGAGGAGCGAAAGCGUGGGGAGCGAACAGGAUUAGAUACCCUGGUAGUCCACGCCGUAAACGAUGAGUGCUAAGUGUUAGGGGGUUUCCGCCCCUUAGUGCUGCAGCUAACGCAUUAAGCACUCCGCCUGGGGAGUACGGUCGCAAGACUGAAACUCAAAGGAAUUGACGGGGGCCCGCACAAGCGGUGGAGCAUGUGGUUUAAUUCGAAGCAACGCGAAGAACCUUACCAGGUCUUGACAUCCUCUGACAAUCCUAGAGAUAGGACGUCCCCUUCGGGGGCAGAGUGACAGGUGGUGCAUGGUUGUCGUCAGCUCGUGUCGUGAGAUGUUGGGUUAAGUCCCGCAACGAGCGCAACCCUUGAUCUUAGUUGCCAGCAUUCAGUUGGGCACUCUAAGGUGACUGCCGGUGACAAACCGGAGGAAGGUGGGGAUGACGUCAAAUCAUCAUGCCCCUUAUGACCUGGGCUACACACGUGCUACAAUGGACAGAACAAAGGGCAGCGAAACCGCGAGGUUAAGCCAAUCCCACAAAUCUGUUCUCAGUUCGGAUCGCAGUCUGCAACUCGACUGCGUGAAGCUGGAAUCGCUAGUAAUCGCGGAUCAGCAUGCCGCGGUGAAUACGUUCCCGGGCCUUGUACACACCGCCCGUCACACCACGAGAGUUUGUAACACCCGAAGUCGGUGAGGUAACCUUUUAGGAGCCAGCCGCCGAAGGUGGGACAGAUGAUUGGGGUGAAGUCGUACAAGGGUAACCAAAAGGGUCGGCCCCGGGCCUUUAAUCUCCCCAGA